UGUGUGUGUGUGUGUGUGUGUUUAAACAGAUAUCAUGGAAAAAGAGAGAGAGAGAGAUACACACACUCAUACUUCUGAACCGGACUGAACUGGGCCGUGUGUCCAGUUCAGUGACCUGCAGCCCGACCGGCUGGCUGACUUGUCCCCCUGUGUUAAUGCCUCCCUCCCCCCGCCUGCCCAGUGUUCAGACUACCUGUUCAUUCCACUACAGCUGAACAGUAGUCCGCACAUUGGUUAGGCUGGGUCGGGACACACACAUCAAAAAAGACAAGGCUCUAACUUUUUCAGCUUUGAAGUACAAAUUAGACGUCAUCAUCACCGCAGGUCUUAUACAUCAGCAUAACGCUCUAAUACUAAUUUUGGUUAAGGACGUAACGGUAACCAAUAAAGCUGGAUGUGUUCUAAAUGUAACUGCCUGUUCUUGUGACUGCAAAAAUGAAUAAUUCAAAUGAAUAAAAAAUAAAUCACUUGGGUGUUUAA
Long non-coding RNA from Clarias gariepinus (North African catfish), 480 nucleotides. RefSeq lists it as uncharacterized. Lineage: Eukaryota; Metazoa; Chordata; Actinopteri; Siluriformes; Clariidae. The record is from RefSeq and is a predicted model, not a curated record. The transcript is spliced from 2 exons.